GGAAUCUUGCGCAAUGCGCGAAAGCGUGACGCAGCAACGCCGCGUGGGGGAAGAAGGCCUUCGGGUUGUAAACCCCUUUCAGGAGGGACGAAGGUUCGGCGGUGAAUAGCCGUCCGGACUGACGGUACCUCCACAAGAAGCCCCGGCUAACUACGUGCCAGCAGCCGCGGUAAUACGUAGGGGGCAAGCGUUGUCCGGAAUCAUUGGGCGUAAAGCGCGCGUAGGCGGCCCGGUAAGUCCGCUCUGAAAGUCCAGGGCUCAACCCUGGAAAGCGGGUGGAUACUGCCGGGCUAGAAUCCGGAAGAGGCGAGUGGAAUUCCUGGUGUAGCGGUGGAAUGCGCAGAUAUCAGGAGGAACACCAAUAGCGAAGGCAGCUCGCUGGGACGGUAUUGACGCUAAGGCGCGAAAGCGUGGGGAGCAAACAGG
RNAcentral lists this ribosomal RNA (426 nucleotides) under uncultured bacterium. RNAcentral describes it as "bacterial SSU rRNA". It matches the Rfam family "Bacterial small subunit ribosomal RNA", at positions 358 to 776 of the family's 1533-position model. The record is from RNAcentral.